CCAACGCCGACGAAGUCACUCACCAUGGUUGGUAUCCCUAGAAAAAUCAAUUUCAUGGCCACAAGAGGCCAUAUAUAGCCUCUUGGAAGGCCUCAGCAAUAUUGGGCUUACGGCAGGCUUCCAGACCAGGCAAAAUCGUCCAGCCCAGGGGAGUAACGAACGUAUGGGUGAAGGGCGAAGGGGUGAACGUGCUGGCCAAGGGAAAGGAACGUCACCUGCCCAAUCAACGAAGGGAAAGGUCCCGACGAAGGUGUUCAGCGGGCGGGCGGCGGUGGGUCGGGGGCCACAUGGGGACUGCCGCAAGUACGCCGUCGAACCCAAGCCUUCAGGGCAGGGAGCGAUGGGCUGAACCCCCACUGAGCCCUUAAUGUGACCCCCCACCCACCACCUCCACGCACCACCACCACCACCACCUCAACGGAGCGAAGGAGAAGGGGAGCGGCAUCACCUUUACCUGAUCACCUGAGGCCCGUUAAUUAACCACCGCGGCGUCGCUCACCUGGGCGCGGCUGAUGGCUCCGUCGCACCUGUCUGUAUGGUGGAUAAGGAAAGGAUACAAUAAGCAGAGGAGGAAAAGGAGUAAAGAAUGGGAAGUUAAGGACAAGUUAAGGACAUCCUGAAGACCACAUAAGCUACAAAAUCAA
Eriocheir sinensis (Chinese mitten crab) is the source of this 644-nucleotide long non-coding RNA. RefSeq lists it as uncharacterized. NCBI's taxonomy places the organism in Eukaryota, Metazoa, Arthropoda, Malacostraca, Decapoda, Varunidae. The record is from RefSeq and is a predicted model, not a curated record. The transcript is spliced from 5 exons.